Cynoglossus semilaevis (tongue sole) is the source of this 2530-nucleotide long non-coding RNA. RefSeq lists it as uncharacterized. The transcript is spliced from 3 exons. The record is from RefSeq and is a predicted model, not a curated record. Lineage: Eukaryota; Metazoa; Chordata; Actinopteri; Pleuronectiformes; Cynoglossidae.
AUGUCUUUGAAAAGUUUUGUUGCUGUAAAAUAUUACUACUUACGCAUAUACAAUAUUUAAAAUUUUAAAUGUUUUGACCUUUAAAAAGUGUUGAUGUUGCAGGGGUUUUUUUGUGUUUGUAUUUUUGCCGCAAUACAUUUGCAAAAUUCUGUUUCAGAGGCAGUUCCAGAGUAUAAAUCUGGCAGUGUUAAAAAUGAUGCCGAAAUUGCCAGAUUAGAGCAAAGGCCUCCUGAUACUGACUGUGGACGGGACAUGACCCCACCAUGUGAUUAGAGCAAGCCAUUGGUUCCACUGAACCACAGGCAAGAGUUGGUUCACAUACAUUAAAAAAAUAAAAUAAAAAAACAAAAAAGAAGCCACAACUCUGACUAGAAUUUAAAAGUCAGCAUGAAGGAAAAGCAAAUCUCUGCAUUUGAAAAUACACCAAACAAUUAUAUAUAAUAUAUAUAUUAUUCAUAUUUUUAUAUAAUAUAAAUAAUAUCAUAUAAAAAACGUUAGAUUAAAGAAAGUCAGUAUGUUGGUUAAUAUUUACUGAUAAAUCGAAAAAAAAGCACAGAUGCUAAUGACAACAUACAGAAACGGCAGCAGCUAGCAUGAAAACAUACAAGAAAAAAAGAAAAAAAAAAUUCUAUUUUCCAAAGUUUAGUGUUGAAAGUAUUUCAAACUUCCUGAUCCAGCCAUCAUAUUCAAUGAAAAUACAUUUUUGAACUUCUCAGCAGCAGGUGUCAGAACUGCUCGCUCAGUUUCCCUUUCAGGUGAGAACCCAGGAAACGUUCCUCUGAGAGAACGCAGCGCAGCAAAUGUCACAAACUUUGCUCUAACGCUGCGUGUCGGUCAGGCGGUGACGCACAACACAGCGUCAGCGCCACGCUCCGAGUCUCGUCACUCACUCUCUCACCAACACAACAGACUCGGCUACCGCUGAAGUUGUGUAACUCGAAUAGCCAGCCUGCCCCUCUACACUCUCACUGACACACACACACACACACUCACACACACACAGCUGAACCAGUCAGCCAACCUCAGUCAACACAAUCAGGCUGCAAUGUUCUCACACACACACACACACACACACACACACACACACACGUACACUCUCGGUGAUGAAUCACUCCAUUUGCAUCCCACAAACAUCAUGCUGGCAACCAACCAGACGCAGACAAAGCAAGGGAAGUGAGUGCUGAGCAAGUAGGCCGCGGUGUGUGUGUGUGUGUGUGCUGACGUCAGACAAGACCCGCCCUCUUUGCUUUACGCAGCUGGGUAGCUCCAGUCAACUCUCUGGGUUUGUCUUCCUGUGAACUGCUCGUCAGGUUUGUGGAGGAGACAGACACACAAGCAAACGACCGAAACCUGGCCAAUUAAUUCAGUUAAUGAAUAUAAAUGAUCAGCCAGACAGGUACAUUGUUUCCAGGACACUCAGGAAUCUGAUCACCCUAACAACCCACGAGGACUACCUCUGGCUAAUUUAUUAUAUGCUUAAUUAAAGUCGCUCACUACUGGAAAGCGACGGCGUCUUCUGCCAAACAUUUUAAUGAGGGAUGUCAACACAGGAGGAUUGACACAGUUACAGGUGUCGACCAAUGAGAGCAUCAGGGGAUGCUAUGGGAUGGUAUGCCGUGCCAACAUCGACCGGUGUUCUUGGGCCAUGUACAGCAUUGUUUCCCAAAGACUGGGUCGCGACCCUCAGCUGUCACAGCUGUCCACGGUCAUCGUGAGCUGAAUCCUGAACAGCCUCGUUCGUCCGUUUUAGCUCGUUCGCUCCGGCCGAUGUAUUUACAUAGCGGAGUUGCCUCUGACCUUGUAUCCUGCUUCCAGUGUAUCCGGCCCUAUAGAUCUCCUCCUGUCCUUCUUCAGGCUACCAGCUCUUCUGAUUCGCAAGCACAUACGCACGUACACACACACACGUACACACACGUACACACACGUACACACACUUGGAGAGUGGCUUUCCACUAAAGUGAAAAACAGGAAAUUGGAUGACAUUGUUUGGUGCGCCAACGUCAGCGCUGAGAGAUAGAAAGAGUAAACAGCUUCCUCCACCCCAGAGCUGGGACCAGGAUGCAGAGAAUCUUGGGAUGUCUGCCCUUCUCGUGCUCUCAAGAAAACGUGCACCGCUGCCCCAUUUACCAAUGAUAAUCUGCACAUCCUUCACUUUGAGACGGGGCAACAGGCUCGCCGGCUCUUCCUGCCAUCCUCGGAUCGCACUGCGUCCCAGGUCUCCUCACUUAACCCCUUAUUUUUAGAACCUUCUGCAUUCGGUUAAAUAGAACAUUAUAUACAGAGCUGCCAAUACAACGGAGGACAUCUGGACCUCUACUCUACAGGUCAACAAACUAACGGUGCCUCGCUGCUGUCUAAAAGUCUGAAUUAAAUGGAGAUGAAUCCAUGUCCUCCAUUAGUCUUUAUAACCAUAUUUUACAGAUAUGAAAAAGUUUUAUUUUCUUUUAUCCUUUGGCUAGAUGUGCGACUUAUACUCAGGUGAAACUAUAUUACUAAUAUUACUAUGCAAAUAUAUAAUUUCACAUUUGUU